UAAAGUAGGCGAUCUUAAAACAUGUUUUGAAGUGGGAUAAUGACGGUUUUAUCAAGUGUUGAACUUCUGUAAAGUUCAUGUGUACCUUUGUUCACUUGAGAAUCAAACAUCUGAAUAGUGACUGGAAUGAAAAAAAUAGCUAAAUGGAAUAGCUUCGAAGUUUUACAAUAAAGAGAGAGUUACAUAAGCAGAAGUUCAUUUCUUGGUAGGUAUGGAACCGAAAAAGCCCCGCACAUUUCGGUCUUGGUAGCUUCAAGUUACACGCUAGGAUCAAGUAAGAGUCUCUUGAUUGGCGGGAGCAAUUAAAACCUGAAUCCAUGCGAGGGCCUGGCUGGUAAGCACUUCAGUUCUGCAGAUGAUAGUUUUGUUUGUUUGAAAUUGAACAGUUUUUAUGGAGGUGGAAGAUUUAAUCUGUUGCACAGAAAGUUCAUGAGAGAUAUUGUAAGUUAAUUCAUUCUGGUGCUCUGUUGAUUCUAUCCGAUAUAAUUGUACGAUUACAAUCGGACAUUUGAGACAAAAUAUAAGGGAAGCUGGGGCAAGACGGAGUGGACCUUUUUCUUACCAGUCAGGUGCUGUACUCUGUUGACAACCUUCGUAACUAUCUUGAAGGAGAAGGGCAAGACAAGACUACAAACAAACCGGCAGCCAUCUUGAGUCACGUCUUUGUUGCCAGUGGAUUAAAACGUAUUUCUGUAGGUAGAUUUUGUUAUAAUAUUUGGUGUUUUUAAAGUUGGGACUUGUAAGUUGUGUUAAAAUAAUUUAAUACGUAAUUAGUAUAUUCAAAUAGUAUGUAUCCUUGCCUUAAAUAGUAUCACUACUUCUAUUAUAAAACAUUGAAGCUUAAUUAACCUGAAAACUGUGCGGUGGGACAGGGCAGGGAUACCGGCCUGAGAGCAAGUUUUCUAUAGUAGACAGUGCAAGGCUGGAGGAAAUAUAUUUUUUUAAGUUUAUUCCAAUACAAUUUUGACGUAUAGGUUAUUAUUAUUGAAUUAUUAUUAGGAUAUUGUUUUUUGUUGCAGAAAAUAGUACAUAACGACCAGAGAAAAACGCUCAUGUGAUGGUGACGAAGAUGACGACGAGGUUCAUCAUAUUUGCGAAUUUUGUAAAUACAAUUUUUCAACCAAUAUCAAAUUAUAUGUUUUUAUUUGUGUAACAUUACAUAAGUUGAUUUCGAAAAACAA
Molecule: long non-coding RNA, 1181 nt
Organism: Leptinotarsa decemlineata (Colorado potato beetle)
Lineage: Eukaryota; Metazoa; Arthropoda; Insecta; Coleoptera; Chrysomelidae
Source: RefSeq, a predicted model, not a curated record